UACAGGGGAGCUGAAGAACCCAGAGAGAUAAUUCCAAGAUGCAUAUUAACUGCAUUACUUCUGGUGACUAUUAUUUAUCUACUAGUUAGUAUUUCCCACCUGACUAUUCUGACACCCAGAGAUAUUCUCUCUUCAGGAGAGCCCUUUAAUUACAGAAAAGGAAAUAAGCAAAAACUUGGCAACAUCAGGAUAUUAUUGGAGAAAGGUUGGGUAGUAUUUGGUGCAGGACACUUAUCAAUCCUAGGGCAGAGCAGGUGUCUUUUCCAUUACCAUCGAUAACAAUGACCAUCAGCCUAUGUUUGACUUUGAUCCCUUUGGUGAAGUCUUCACAUAUAUAUUAUAUCUUGUGUGUCUCUUUGUUCUCAGCCUCAAUUUAAAAUAUAUUAAAGUUAUGUAAAACUUCUGUUAUAUUUUAAAACUUCUGUAUAUUUUAAACUGAGGCUGAUUUGGUUUGAGAAAAUGACAUGCUAUUUACAAUUGCAGUUUAAUAUUUGCACCCUGAUGUGUCUGAAGAACAGAUGUCAGAAGUAGAAACUGUUAAAGAAAAUAGCCUUUUAAACAUGCCAAGUUAAAUUAAAAAAAGAUCAAGCCCAUGAUAGAACAUUAAUGAUGAAAUACCCAUGGUAACUUUCUUUCUUCAAAGAAAUAGUGUAUAAAGAGGUGCCCAUGAUAAUACCUAGCUUUAAAAACCAUGCAGAAAUCGUUGUAUAACUAAAGCUCUGUUUUGGUUUGCAUGGGUUGAUACGUUGGUAUUUUUCCCUCUUCCAUUUUCUUUUUUCUAUACCCCAAUCUUUUACUACUGAAUUUGUGGUGACUUUGUGAUAAAAUUUAGCAAUUAAAAUAAAA
This 846-nucleotide long non-coding RNA is filed under the name Neogale vison (American mink). RNAcentral describes it as "Neovison vison (American mink) lncRNA (ENSNVIG00000016279.1)". The record is from RNAcentral. Lineage: Eukaryota; Metazoa; Chordata; Mammalia; Carnivora; Mustelidae.